This 522-nucleotide ribosomal RNA is filed under the name uncultured Bacillus sp. RNAcentral describes it as "bacterial SSU rRNA". It matches the Rfam family "Bacterial small subunit ribosomal RNA", at positions 9 to 510 of the family's 1533-position model. RNAcentral also lists the same sequence under 1 other name. The record is from RNAcentral. Lineage: Bacteria; Bacillati; Bacillota; Bacilli; Caryophanales; Bacillaceae.
GAGUUUGAUCCUGGCUCAGGACGAACGCUGGCGGCGUGCCUAAUACAUGCAAGUCGAGCGAAUGUCUUAAGAAGCUUGCUUCUUGAGAUGUUAGCGGCGGACGGGUGAGUAACACGUGGGCAACCUGCCCUGUAGUUGGGGAUAACUCCGGGAAACCGGGGCUAAUACCGAAUAAUACAUUUCAUCUCCUGAUGGAAUGUUGAAAGAUGGUUUACGCUAUCGCUACAGGAUGGGCCCGCGGCGCAUUAGCUAGUUGGUGAGGUAAUGGCUCACCAAGGCGACGAUGCGUAGCCGACCUGAGAGGGUGAUCGGCCACACUGGGACUGAGACACGGCCCAGACUCCUACGGGAGGCAGCAGUAGGGAAUCUUCCACAAUGGGCGAAAGCCUGAUGGAGCAACGCCGCGUGAGUGAAGAAGGUUUUCGGAUCGUAAAACUCUGUUGUAAGGGAAGAACAAGUACAGUAGUAACUGGCUGUACCUUGACGGUACCUUAUUAGAAAGCCACGGCUAACUACGUGCCA